RNAcentral lists this ribosomal RNA (1476 nucleotides) under metagenome. RNAcentral's name for it is "bacterial SSU rRNA". It matches the Rfam family "Bacterial small subunit ribosomal RNA". The record is from RNAcentral.
AGAGUUUGAUCCUGGCUCAGGAUGAACGCUAGCUACAGGCUUAACACAUGCAAGUCGAGGGGCAGCAUGGUCUUAGCUUGCUAAGGCCGAUGGCGACCGGCGCACGGGUGAGUAACACGUAUCCAACCUGCCGUCUACUCUUGGACAGCCUUCUGAAAGGAAGAUUAAUACAAGAUGGCAUCAUGAGUCCGCAUGUUCACAUGAUUAAAGGUAUUCCGGUAGACGAUGGGGAUGCGUUCCAUUAGAUAGUAGGCGGGGUAACGGCCCACCUAGUCUUCGAUGGAUAGGGGUUCUGAGAGGAAGGUCCCCCACAUUGGAACUGAGACACGGUCCAAACUCCUACGGGAGGCAGCAGUGAGGAAUAUUGGUCAAUGGGCGAGAGCCUGAACCAGCCAAGUAGCGUGAAGGAUGACUGCCCUAUGGGUUGUAAACUUCUUUUAUAAAGGAAUAAAGUCGGGUAUGCAUACCCGUUUGCAUGUACUUUAUGAAUAAGGAUCGGCUAACUCCGUGCCAGCAGCCGCGGUAAUACGGAGGAUCCGAGCGUUAUCCGGAUUUAUUGGGUUUAAAGGGAGCGUAGAUGGAUGUUUAAGUCAGUUGUGAAAGUUUGCGGCUCAACCGUAAAAUUGCAGUUGAUACUGGAUAUCUUGAGUGCAGUUGAGGCAGGCGGAAUUCGUGGUGUAGCGGUGAAAUGCUUAGAUAUCACGAAGAACUCCGAUUGCGAAGGCAGCCUGCUAAGCUGCAACUGACAUUGAGGCUCGAAAGUGUGGGUAUCAAACAGGAUUAGAUACCCUGGUAGUCCACACGGUAAACGAUGAAUACUCGCUGUUUGCGAUAUACAGCAAGCGGCCAAGCGAAAGCGUUAAGUAUUCCACCUGGGGAGUACGCCGGCAACGGUGAAACUCAAAGGAAUUGACGGGGGCCCGCACAAGCGGAGGAACAUGUGGUUUAAUUCGAUGAUACGCGAGGAACCUUACCCGGGCUUAAAUUGCAGAUGAAUUACGGUGAAAGCCGUAAGCCGCAAGGCAUCUGUGAAGGUGCUGCAUGGUUGUCGUCAGCUCGUGCCGUGAGGUGUCGGCUUAAGUGCCAUAACGAGCGCAACCCUUGUUGUCAGUUACUAACAGGUCAUGCUGAGGACUCUGACAAGACUGCCAUCGUAAGAUGUGAGGAAGGUGGGGAUGACGCCAAAUCAGCACGGCCCUUACGUCCGGGGCUACACACGUGUUACAAUGGGGGGUACAGAGGGCCGCUACCACGCGAGUGGAUGCCAAUCCCAAAAACCUCUCUCAGUUCGGACUGGAGUCUGCAACCCGACUCCACGAAGCUGGAUUCGCUAGUAAUCGCGCAUCAGCCACGGCGCGGUGAAUACGUUCCCGGGCCUUGUACACACCGCCCGUCAAGCCAUGGGAGCCGGGGGUACCUGAAGUGCGUAACCGCGAGGAGCGCCCUAGGGUAAAACUGGUGACUGGGGCUAAGUCG